CACGUAGGGGGCGAGCGUUGUCCGGAAUUACUGGGCGUAAAGGGCGCGUAGGCGGCCUUCUAAGUCAGACGUGAAAUCCCCCGGCUUAACCUGGGAACUGCGUCUGAUACUGGGAGGCUUGAGUAUGGGAGAGGGAUGUAGAAUUCCAGGUGUAGCGGUGAAAUGCGUAGAUAUCUGGAGGAAUACCGGUGGCGAAGGCGGCAUCCUGGACCAUAACUGACGCUGAGGCGCGAAAGCUAGGGGAGCAAACGGG
RNAcentral lists this ribosomal RNA (253 nucleotides) under uncultured bacterium. Its description in RNAcentral is "partial 16S ribosomal RNA". It matches the Rfam family "Bacterial small subunit ribosomal RNA", at positions 524 to 776 of the family's 1533-position model. The record is from RNAcentral.